CCCUUAGAUGUCCGGGGCUGCACGCGCGCUACACUGAAGGAAUCAGCGUGCUAAAACCAUUGUCGAAAGGCAUUGGUAAACCCAUUAAAAUCCUACGUGAUUGGGAUCGGGAAUUGCAAUUAUUUCCCUUGAACGAGGAAUUCCCAGUAAGUGUGGGUCAUAAGCUCGCGUUGAUUACGUCCCUGCCCUUUGUACACACCGCCCGUCGCUGCCCGGGACUGAGCCGUUUCGAGAAAAGCGGGGACUGCUGCUGUCGGGGCUUUCGGGCCUUGGCUUCGGUGGAAACCGCUUUAAUCGCAGUGGCUUGAACCGGGCAAAAGNCGUAACA
This 328-nucleotide ribosomal RNA is filed under the name uncultured eukaryote. Its description in RNAcentral is "partial 18S ribosomal RNA". It matches the Rfam family "Eukaryotic small subunit ribosomal RNA", at positions 1470 to 1796 of the family's 1831-position model. The record is from RNAcentral.